Long non-coding RNA from Homo sapiens (human), 2560 nucleotides. Ensembl annotates it as long intergenic non-protein coding RNA 2997. Lineage: Eukaryota; Metazoa; Chordata; Mammalia; Primates; Hominidae. The record is from Ensembl.
GGGGAUGUAGGAGUGUGCAGAGAAGAAGCCAUGUUUUGAGGACACUCAAGCAACCUUUGGAGAGGCCCACAUGGGAAGGAACUGAAACCUCCUACCAAAAACCAGCGCUAAUUUGCCAGUCAUGGGUAAAAGCUGACUUGGCAGAAGCUGUCUGAUACUGUGGGUCAUCCUGACCUUGAGACUGCGCAACGUGCCCUGGCAGAUUCAGAGUGUGUCCUGCUAGAACCCAUGUGCUGGACUCAUUUCCAAUCUUAUGAUGGGGAACACACGAGAAGUAUAAACCAAGUGCAAUCGAUAUCAAAAGGAAGAGAUUUCUUCUGUUUGGGGACAUGAGGAGUAAGGAACAUCACUAUCAUCCACGUAAGUGAGUGUGCCUGCAGCAUGCAUUCAUUACUGCAUCUGAUGGAAGCACAAAGGGAGAGACAAAGAUGCAGAGAACAAUGGAUAUCUGCCAGUGAAUGAGUCUGUUGAAAUCACCACACCAAAUUCAACAUUAAGGGCCAACCCUGACCACAGCUGAGCCGUGUGAAGAGGCUGACAGCGGCGUGGCCACCACCCAGGAUGGAGAGAAAGGCACUGUGAGGUGUUAAUGGAAAAAUCCAACUUCCUUUUCUUCCAAAGAUGAUGACUGAAACCAAAGUGGAGCUUUCCCUUGUGAAGUGAAAGCAAAGUUUUAAAAUUUUUUCUCCUCUGCAAGAAAAUAUAUUUCAGAAAAUCUCUAUCUCAAAAAUGAAGCAAUUAAGAACUGUCUGGCUGUGAGGAUCUGGCCUCAACUUGACUUAAAGCAACAACUUCAGUUACAUAUCAAGAUGUGCGUGAGAAUGAACCUGCUCUGCUCAGCCAACGUGCUGAGUGACUUGAUGUUUGUAAUAAAUAAAUAAAUAAACAACAAACAGGUUGUCAUGAAAUAUCCUUUGUAAUUAUAAACACAGGAAACUUUCUGAGAUGCAAGUGGGUGUUAAAUGGUUCAGCAAAGCCAAGCCAGAGCAGUUGGUGUGCUUUGAAAUGAAGCAACAUUGGAAAAAUGAAAUCUACUGAAAGAUCACUACGUGUUUCAAAGAACUGACUAGAACCAGAACUCUUCAGAAAAGAAUGUGCUAAAGGUUUGUCCUUGAGAAGUUUCCAAGCCAAGACACUCCUAGGAGCACUUCCCAUUGAGGCCGAAAGGCUCAUCCACUUACAGCGAUUCAUGGGAAAAGAGGACAGCACCCUCAUCUUUGGUCCAAGAACACAAUCCUGAGUGACACAGGAUUGCCCUGAAAGUCAACAGCAUCCGUCUUACAAAAAUCAACAACACUCGCUUUUCAAACUUCCAAAGAAUUUACUGGUCUGGUUUGGCCUUUUGGUGCCACAUUCCAUUCCAGAACCCCAGCUAAAAUGUUCUCAAGGGCUGACCAGAGAUUCCUCCUCCUUUCUCUGGGCUGGUACAACUUGACCGCUGCUUGACAUCAAGGUCAACUGGAGACUGGGAACAGUUAUGUAACUGUGUUGUAAAUUGAAUUAGAGCUGUACAUGAGCCCAGACCAAGUAACCAGUGCAGCUCCAGGCAAGAGCAGCAACAUGUCCCCCAGAGACAGCAUUGGAGGAACAGCUUACUGGGGAAUGGAAAAAGGGUAUCACAGGGUAAAAAAGAAACCGUCUCUUUCCAGUCCUUCUAAAGUCUGGGCAGUUGGCUGCCCCAUCACAUGUGGAAUAAGAGGGGGGCAUUAAGUGCAGAGGGAGCUGGUGUCAGUAUGGCAGGCAAACACUGAGGAAAAAUCAGCAUACAUAGUAUACACAAAGAGAAUGAGAAAAAAAUAUUUGUAACACCAGAACAGACACCACCCAGAUGAAAGAAAUAAGAAGGCUUACACGUGGAGAGGAAAAAAGCCUCUGGCAGUGGUCAGUGGACUGUAGAAUGAGCAAGAAAGGCAUGACCAUCCUCCUACCAGUGACUGGUCAUUCUGGAGAGGAUACAUGUGCACAGAUCUGGAAAACCAGGGCUGAAAAGCCUUUUGACACCUUUGGUGACCUAGGACAUGGUCCCCCAAUGUAAGACAUCAUGCUAGAUAGAGGGGAAAAUAGUAAGUUUUCUUCAAAGGCAAAUGAAUACAACUUGAGAUAACUUUUGAAAAGAAAAAAGGUACUGGGACCAUGGCAUGACUUUGAUCUGUGCUAACAUGACCGCCUGCAGAAGCAGAUGAGGAGAGGCAGAAUAAUGUAAAGCUGAAAGCUUGGAGUCACCAAACCAUAGAUAGCUUCACCUCUUACCAAGUGCUUGAUGUGUGGCUAGGUUCUUAAAUCCCCUACAAGUUCCAGCUUCCUCAUCUGUAAAAAACGAGCAAGUUAAGACUGGGUGAGUUAAUAGAUGUAAAAGUACUUAGUACAGUACUCUACAAAUAGUAAGUGCCCAAUAAAUGUUAACUGUUAUUAUUAUGUAUUCUGUCCUUCACUAUGUUAGGCCCUGGGAUGUAGUGGUGACAGGCAAGGCUGCUGCUCUUGUGGUUCUUACAUGAAACAAGGGAACAGGGAAAUAAACAAAAUAAAUGCAGACUAUGAAAAGUGCUAAAGAAUAAAUAAA